ACCAGACUCCUACGGGAGGCAGCAGUGGGGAAUAUUGCACAAUGGGGGAAACCCUGAUGCAGCGACGCCGCGUGAGUGAAGAAGUAUUUCGGUAUGUAAAGCUCUAUCAGCAGGGAAGAAAAUGACGGUACCUGACCAAGAAGCCCCGGCUAACUACGUGCCAGCAGCCGCGGUAAUACGUAGGGGGCAAGCGUUAUCCGGAUUUACUGGGUGUAAAGGGAGCGUAGACGGUGAUGCAAGUCAGAAGUGAAAGCCCGGGGCUCAACUCCGGGACUGCUUUUGAAACUGUGUAACUGGAGUGCAGGAGAGGUAAGCGGAAUUCCUAGUGUAGCGGUGAAAUGCGUAGAUAUUAGGAGGAACACCAGUGGCGAAGGCGGCUUACUGGACUGUAACUGACGUUGAGGCUCGAAAGCGUGGGGAGCUAACAGGAUUAGAUACCCUUGUAG
Molecule: ribosomal RNA, 446 nt
Filed under: uncultured bacterium
Lineage: Bacteria
Description: bacterial SSU rRNA
Rfam family: Bacterial small subunit ribosomal RNA
Source: RNAcentral